UGUGGAUAGAAGAGGAGGCACCUUUCAACAACUCCUUUCUACCGAACUGGAGGGAGAAGUACCACCAGUCCUUUGUCGAGGGAUGAUGCUUGAAGGUAUAGAAAUUUCUAAACAAAGAAAGAGUUGGCCGAACUUCAGCUAAACUACAGAGGGAAAGAAAUCCUAUCAGAAAUCUAAAGGAGUUCGGUACUACAGAAACUAAAGAAAUAUUUAAGAAGCGAAAAAGAGCAAUGACAAAAGGUGGAAGCGGAAGUCGAAGUCUAAUGAGGAAAGCUUCCUGAUAUAAACAGAAGCAGCCGGGGGGAGGAGCGCUAGUCCGGCCAGUCAGCCUGAAAAGCUCCAGCUCGUACUUCAGAGGAAUCCCAUACUAAAUCCUAAUCAGUGAGAGUUCCUUCAGAGUCAGAGAGCUGGGGAUGGUGUCUGAUAC
Molecule: long non-coding RNA, 427 nt
Filed under: Elaeis guineensis (African oil palm)
Lineage: Eukaryota; Viridiplantae; Streptophyta; Magnoliopsida; Arecales; Arecaceae
Description: long non-coding RNA (EGUI_LNC008442)
Source: RNAcentral